This 468-nucleotide ribosomal RNA is filed under the name uncultured bacterium. RNAcentral describes it as "partial 16S ribosomal RNA". It matches the Rfam family "Bacterial small subunit ribosomal RNA", at positions 28 to 507 of the family's 1533-position model. The record is from RNAcentral.
GACGAACGCUGGCGGCGUGCUUAACACAUGCAAGUCGAACGGAAAGGCCCUGCUUUUGUGGGGUGCUCGAGUGGCGAACGGGUGAGUAACACGUGAGUAACCUGCCCUUGUCUUUGGGAUAACUUCAGGAAACUGGGGCUAAUACCGGAUAGGAGCUCCUGCUGCAUGGUGGGGGUUGGAAAGUUUCGGCGGUUGGGGAUGGACUCGCGGCUUAUCAGCUUGUUGGUGGGGUAGUGGCUUACCAAGGCUUUGACGGGUAGCCGGCCUGAGAGGGUGACCGGCCACAAUGGGACUGAGAGACGGACCAGACUCGUACGGGAGGCAGCAGUGGAGAAUAUUGCAGAAUGGGCGGAAGCCAGAGGCAGCAACGCCGAGUGCGGGAUAACGGCCUUCGGGUUGUAAACAGAUGUGGCCUGUGACGAGGAGUGAGUGACGGUAAUGGGUAAAGAAGCACCGGCUAACUACGUG